Molecule: ribosomal RNA, 254 nt
Filed under: uncultured bacterium
Lineage: Bacteria
Description: partial 16S ribosomal RNA
Rfam family: Bacterial small subunit ribosomal RNA
Source: RNAcentral
UACGUAGGGGGCAAGCGUUGUCCGGAAUCAUUGGGCGUAAAGAGCGUGUAGGCGGCUCGGUAAGUCCGCUGUGAAAGUCCGGGGCUCAACCCUGGAAUGCCGGUGGAAACUGUCGAGCUAGAGUCCGGAAGAGGCGAGUGGAAUUCCUGGUGUAGCGGUGAAAGUGCGCAGAUAUCAGGAGGAACACCAUGGGCGAAGGCAGCUCGCUGGGACGGUACUGACGCUGAGACGCGAAAGCGUGGGGAGCAAACAGG